AUUCUCAGAAGACAAGUGACAUGGAACAA
This 29-nucleotide small RNA is filed under the name Arabidopsis thaliana (thale cress). RNAcentral describes it as "ATSL014030". The record is from RNAcentral. Lineage: Eukaryota; Viridiplantae; Streptophyta; Magnoliopsida; Brassicales; Brassicaceae.